Molecule: ribosomal RNA, 378 nt
Filed under: uncultured eukaryote
Lineage: Eukaryota
Description: partial 18S ribosomal RNA
Rfam family: Eukaryotic small subunit ribosomal RNA
Source: RNAcentral
CAAUAGCGUAUAUUUAAGUUGUUGCAGUUAAAAAGCUCGUAGUUGGAUUUCGGGUGGGACGCAGCGGUCUCGCAUUGCGUUUGUACUGCUGCAGCCCUCCUUCUUGCCGGGGGCGGCCUCUCGGACUUCACUGUCUGGGGGUCAGAAUCGGCGAUGUUACUUUGAGUAAAUUAGAGUGUUCAAAGCAAGCUUACGCUCUGAAUAUAAUAGCAUGGGAUAACACGACAGGACUCUGGCCUAUCGUGUUGGUCUAUAGGACCAGAGUAAUGAUUAAGAGGGACAGUCGGGGGCAUUCGUAUCCCGUUGUCAGAGGUGAAAUUCUUGGAUUUACGGAAGACGAACAUCUGCGAAANCANNNGCCAAGGAUGUUUUCAUNGG